RNAcentral lists this ribosomal RNA (951 nucleotides) under uncultured Mycoplasma sp. Its description in RNAcentral is "bacterial SSU rRNA". It matches the Rfam family "Bacterial small subunit ribosomal RNA", at positions 438 to 1409 of the family's 1533-position model. Lineage: Bacteria; Bacillati; Mycoplasmatota; Mollicutes; Mycoplasmatales; Mycoplasmataceae. The record is from RNAcentral.
AUAUGGGAGUGGAAAGCCCAUAUUAUGACGGUACUGUAUCAGAAAGUGACGGCAAACUAUGUGCCAGCAGCCGCGGUAAUACAUAGGUCACAAGCGUUAUCCGAAAUUAUUGGGCGUAAAGCGUCCGUAGGUUGUUUAUUAAGUCUGGAGUCAAAGACCGGUGCUCAACGCCGGCACGCUUUAGAUACUGGUAGACUAGAGUUAUAAAGAGGUGAGUGGAAUUUCAUGUGAAGCGGUGGAAUGCGUAGAUAUAUGAAAGAACACCAAUGGCGAAGGCAGCUCACUGGUUAUAUACUGACACUGAGGGACGAAAGCGUGGGGAGCAAACAGGAUUAGAUACCCUGGUAGUCCACGCCGUAAACGAUGAUCAUUAGUUGGUGGGAGAAUCUCACUAACGCAGCUAACGCAUUAAAUGAUCCGCCUGAGUAGUAUGCUCGCAAGAGUGAAACUUAAAGGAAUUGACGGGGACCCGCACAAGCGGUGGAGCAUGUGGUUUAAUUUGACGAUACGCGUAGAACCUUACCCACUCUUGACAUCCUCUGCAAAGCUAUAGAGAUAUAGUCGAGGUUAACAGAGUGACAGAUGGUGCAUGGUUGUCGUCAGCUCGUGUCGUGAGAUGUUCGGUUAAGUCCUGCAACGAGCGCAACCCCUAUCCUUAUUUACUACCAUUAAGUUGAGAACUAUACGGAUACUGCUCAGGUAACUGGGAGGAAGGUGGGGAUGACGUCAAAUCAUCAUGCCUCUUACGAGUGGGGCAACACACGUGCUACAAUGGCCGGUACAAAGAGACGCAAUAUGGUGACAUGGAGCAAAUCUGAAAAACCGGUCUCAGUUCGGAUUGAAGGCUGCAAUUCGCCUUCAUGAAGUCGGAAUCGCUAGUAAUCGUAGAUCAGCUACGCUACGGUGAAUACGUUCUCGGGUCUUGUACACACCGCCCGUCACACCAUGGGA